RNAcentral lists this long non-coding RNA (1064 nucleotides) under Chloebia gouldiae (Gouldian finch). RNAcentral describes it as "Erythrura gouldiae (Gouldian finch) lncRNA (ENSEGOG00005016313.1)". The record is from RNAcentral. Lineage: Eukaryota; Metazoa; Chordata; Aves; Passeriformes; Passeridae.
AAAUAACCAUCACCCUCCGAAGUUGUUAGUAAAUAAAAAAUCUGCCAUGAAGUGAUUUGUGAGGGGCAGCUCUGCAGAACCUCCCUCCCUCCACGUGCACGUUCAGGUUGUGCUGCCCAUGGGCUGAGCUCCUUUUUUAUCUUUGGAUGGAGGGUGAAGCCUCUCUCUUCCCUCCCUUGUUCCUACACGUUCCCCUGCACACACCCACUUUAACAGCCUUUGCUGGGGUAGCUGUUUGUCUGUCUCUCCCUCUGAUCCCACCUGACUGAAAACCCUUUGUUGCAAAAAGGUUUCCUUUAUUAAAAUCCUCUUUUGCAUACUGGGAGGGGGCGGGUUUGAUUGGCACGGAUGGAGAAAGGCAGGAGGAGGCUCUGCAGCGCCUGGUGAGGCGACAACCAAAAUAUCAGGAGAGAUUUUAAAGCUCAUCUUUGAGGAGAAUUCUGCAUCUCUAAAGCAAACUUUGAGGAAUCAUCUGCUGUGGUUUCAAAGGCAGCCUGCGUGUGUUUCCUCAGCUGAUCAGUGCAAGGUUCUUAAAAUUCUUCACCUAAAAUGCGAGACGGAGGGGGAAAUCCAGAGGAGAAUUCAGCCCUGAAUUCAGCCCUGCUGUUGGAUGCAGCUGAUGAAGUCCAACCUGCUGAUUUGGGUCACCCAGGGUUGCAGGAGUGGCACUGCAGAGGCGACAGGAGCUGGAUGAAUUCUGGCAGCCCCAGCUCACGUUGCAGGGCAGAGAAACAGGUGACUGAACGUGCUGGGGCUGCCAAGAAUUUGCUGUUUUGACCCAACACUGCCACAGUACCGGCCGAAAUGGAAGGGAGCACACAUGGAGACAUCUCUUCAGAGGAGCUGCUGAGCGUGGGGAAGGAGAAGAAGAAGGAGAAGAAGAAGCAGCAGAGAGCAAAGGGAAAACGCACAAGUGGCUGUGGUUGGAGGGGUGAUGAUGUCACCGGGCUCAGUGGGAACACGGCGCUUUUAAAAAGCUGAAAGAAACAUCCUGACCCUCACUUGUCACAUCCCCACCCAGGAGCCACACACACACACACAGAGCCGAGUUAUCCUCAGCCAAG